Molecule: long non-coding RNA, 1062 nt
Organism: Dicentrarchus labrax (European seabass)
Lineage: Eukaryota; Metazoa; Chordata; Actinopteri; Moronidae
Exons: 2
Source: RefSeq, a predicted model, not a curated record
CACGAAGAUAAAAAAAAGGCCAAAUGAAAGUGAAAGUGACUAGUAACUAGUUUUAAAGGUGGACCUGUAGUAACCUGGAUGAAGCCACCUGUGUGAAUACUGUAAACAAAACAGUCAUCGACGCAACAGCAUUUAUAGAAAACAAGUGGGGUCAACACUUUGUGAAACUCAUAUUUACGAGCAGCACAUGAAGGCGGCAUCGGCCAAACAUCUUUUUUUCCACGCCUUUCCUAAUGUUGACGAGGCACGAGAGGAUCCAAAAGGUCCAAAAAUAGAUGAAAUGUAGCUGCAGUUAUGAGUUUAUACCGAGCAGUGAGGUGAUUGUUUGUUUAACCCUCAGAUUGAGUUCAGGGAACAUCUUUCUUCUGUCAUAAAUAAAUUAAAUCUGACUGACAUAUUUCUCCACAAUAUUUGAACACAUAAGAGAUAACAUAUGACACACCACACUUAUAUUCAUCUGAUUACAGUCUGGUUUAAGGUUGAAUCCAUGUUUCUGAUAUAAAUGAUUAUAAGUUAUAAAAUAAGUAUUUUUGAUUGUUCUCUCUGAAUAAAGUCAGUCAGUUUUUACCAUAAACAUGUUGCUUAUGGCAGCCAGUAAAAUACUUAAAAACAAUAUCUUCUGGCACUCAUUGUGUUUCACUCUGGCCUUAACUACAGUCAAAAUAAUACUGAUAUUGUCAUUAUUCUGCUAAAACAAAGCGUUAUUAUUUGAGAUAACUGAGCCAUAAAUAAAGAGUAGAACUUGUAAUAAUAAUAAUAAUAAUAAUAAUAAUAAUAAUAAUAAUAAGAAGAAGAAGAAGAAGAAGAAGAAGAAGUUAACACAAUAGGAGGGUUAAAGACGCUUUUGUUUCAGGCAGGAGACCAUUAUUCUUAAAUUAUUUUGGUUUUAUGUAUUGUGUUUAUUUGAAUAACUGACAAUGUGUGUAAACAAUUUUUAAUUUGAAUUAAUUUGUCCUGUAAAAAACAUUAAGACUGGAAUUAUGAAAACACUGUAUUAUGUCUGUUAGGAUUAAGGAAGUGUGUUAUGUAACUCAUUUCUAAAUAAAUAAAUAAAUAAAUAAA